Molecule: ribosomal RNA, 514 nt
Filed under: uncultured bacterium
Lineage: Bacteria
Description: partial 16S ribosomal RNA
Rfam family: Bacterial small subunit ribosomal RNA
Source: RNAcentral
GAUGAACGCUGGCGGCGUGCCUAAUACAUGCAAGUCGAGCGAACAGAUGAGAAGCUUGCUUCUCUGAUGUUAGCGGCGGACGGGUGAGUAACACGUGGGUAACCUACCUAUAAGACCGGGAUAACUCCGGGAAACCGGGGCUAAUACCGGAUAAUAUUUUGAACCGCAUGGUUCGAUAGUGAAAGACGGUUUCGGCUGUCACUUAUAGAUGGACCCGCGCCGUAUUAGCUAGUUGGUAAGGUAACGGCUUACCAAGGCGACGAUACGUAGCCGACCUGAGAGGGUGAUCGGCCACACUGGAACUGAGACACGGUCCAGACUCCUACGGGAGGCAGCAGUAGGGAAUCUUCCGCAAUGGGCGAAAGCCUGACGGAGCAACGCCGCGUGAGUGAUGAAGGUCUUCGGAUCGUAAAACUCUGUUAUUAGGGAAGAACAAACGUGUAAGUAACUGUGCACGUCUUGACGGUACCUAAUCAGAAAGCCACGGCUAACUACGUGCCAGCAGCCGCGGUAA